CCCUUAGAUGUUCUGGGCCGCACGCGUGCUACACUGACCGGCGCAACAAGUUUCUUUCCUUGGCUCGAUAGGCCUGGGUAAUCUUUGAACGCCGGUCGUGAUGGGGAUAGAUCCUUGCAAUUUUUGAUCUUCAACGAGGAAUUCCUAGUAAAUGCGAGUCAUCAUCUCGCGUUGAUUACGUCCCUGCCCUUUGUACACACCGCCCGUCGCACCUACCGAUUGAAUGGACCGGUGAAGCCUCGGGAUUGCGAAUGCUUCGUGCGGACGCGAGAACUUGGCUAAACCUUACCAUUUAGAGGAAGGUGAAGUCGUAACA
RNAcentral lists this ribosomal RNA (316 nucleotides) under uncultured eukaryote. Its description in RNAcentral is "partial 18S ribosomal RNA". It matches the Rfam family "Eukaryotic small subunit ribosomal RNA", at positions 1470 to 1796 of the family's 1831-position model. The record is from RNAcentral.